Molecule: ribosomal RNA, 254 nt
Filed under: Draconarius hanoiensis
Lineage: Eukaryota; Metazoa; Arthropoda; Arachnida; Araneae; Agelenidae
Description: partial 12S ribosomal RNA
Source: RNAcentral
AUCGAUAAAUCACGUUAANUUUUACUUUAAUUUUAAAUUUAUAUACCGCCAUCUUAAGAAUUAAUUUAAAAAUAUUUCUUUAAAAAUAAAUAAAAGAUUAGGUCAAGGUAUAAUUCACAUUGAAGAAUAAGAUGAAUUACAAUAAAUUUAAUUUCAAGAUUAUUAAUAAAUAUAUUCAUACAAAUAAGAAUUUAAAAGUAAUAUUUAAAUAAUAAUAUAAUAUGAUACCGACAACAAAUGUGUACACAUCGCCC